UGUAGACCUGGGCUCACUGUCUGUGUCCUUGUACAAGACACUUUUAUCUGAAUUGUCUCAGUCCACCCAGCUGUAAGUGGGUACCGGCCUUGGCUGGGGAAGUAACCUGUGCUGGACUGGCGUCCCAUCCAGGUGGAGUCGUGGACUCUCAUCU
Long non-coding RNA from Thalassophryne amazonica, 154 nucleotides. RefSeq lists it as uncharacterized. The transcript is spliced from 3 exons. The record is from RefSeq and is a predicted model, not a curated record. NCBI's taxonomy places the organism in Eukaryota, Metazoa, Chordata, Actinopteri, Batrachoidiformes, Batrachoididae.